GCUAUGCAAGUCUCAUAUGUUGCAUCCGAGAGUGCUUUUAGCACUAGUGGUCGAAUACUAGACCCACACAGGAGUUGUUUGAGUCACUAUAUGAUAGAGGUCUUAAUGUGCACAGAACAAUGGCUGAAAGAUGAUAUUCACUUCACUGAAAAAGGAUUAAUCACCAUUCAACAACUCCUUGCUGAAGUUGAGCUGCAUGAUACUCUUGAGAAAGAGUUUGGAACUGUCACAUAUUGAAGUUGUUGGCUGCUUUGGAGUUUGGAGUACGCAACGUGACUCGGCAGUCUCGGCUUAAUGGGAAUGGCAAGCUUUGGUCCGGAUACAACUUUGUUUCUUUUUUUCUCUUAUCUCGGCUUAGUGUGUGCUUUAACACUUUUUCUCUUAUCUCGGCUUAAUGUGUGGUUUGACACUUUUUCUCUUAUCUCGGCUUAAUGUGUGGUUUGACACUUUUUCUCUUAUCUCGGCUUAAUGUGUGGUUUGACACUUUUUCUCUAAUGCCUCGGCUUAAUGUGCUUUGACACUUUUCUCUUAUCUCUUUUGCUUGACUAGUUAGAACUAGUAUGUUCUUCUUUU
Molecule: long non-coding RNA, 573 nt
Organism: Arabidopsis lyrata subsp. lyrata
Lineage: Eukaryota; Viridiplantae; Streptophyta; Magnoliopsida; Brassicales; Brassicaceae
Exons: 2
Source: RefSeq, a predicted model, not a curated record